This is a non-coding RNA of Ictidomys tridecemlineatus (thirteen-lined ground squirrel), 72 nucleotides long. NCBI's taxonomy places the organism in Eukaryota, Metazoa, Chordata, Mammalia, Rodentia, Sciuridae. The record is from Rfam.
UGGGGUGUAGCUCAGUGGCAGAGCGCUUGCCUAGCAUGUAUGAGAUACUGGGUUCGAUCCUUAGCACCACAU